ACGAACGCUGGCGGCAUGCCUAACACCUGCCAGUCGCACGAGACCUUCGGGUCUAGUGGCGCACGGGUGCGUAACGCGUGGGAACCUGCCCUUAGGUUCGGAAUAACUCCCCGAAAGGGGUGCUAAUACCGGAUAAUGUCUUCGGACCAAAGAUUUAUCGCCUUUGGAUGGGCCCGCGUUGGAUUAGCUAGUUGGUAGGGUAAAAGCCUACCAAGGCGACGAUCCAUAGCUGGUCUGAGAGGAUGAUCAGCCACACUGGGACUGAGACACGGCCCAGACUCCUACGGGAAGCAGCAGUGGGGAAUAUUGGACAAUGGGCGAAAGCCUGAUCCAGCAAUGCCGCGUGAGUGAUGAAGGCCUUAGGGUUGUAAAGCUCUUUUACCCGGGAUGAUAAUGACAGUACCGGGAGAAUAAGCUCCGGCUAACUCCGUG
RNAcentral lists this ribosomal RNA (432 nucleotides) under uncultured bacterium. Its description in RNAcentral is "partial 16S ribosomal RNA". It matches the Rfam family "Bacterial small subunit ribosomal RNA", at positions 29 to 507 of the family's 1533-position model. The record is from RNAcentral.